AACGAACGCUGGCGGCAUGCCUAACACAUGCAAGUCGAACGAGACCUUCGGGUCUAGUGGCGCACGGGUGCGUAACGCGUGGGAACCUGCCCUUAGGUUCGGAAUAACUCCCCGAAAGGGGUGCUAAUACCGGAUAAUGUCUUCGGACCAAAGAUUUAUCGCCUUUGGAUGGGCCCGCGUUGGAUUAGCUAGUUGGUAGGGUAAAAGUCUACCAAGGCGACGAUCCAUAGCUGGUCUGAGAGGAUGAUCAGCCACACUGGGACUGAGACACGGCCCAGACUCCUACGGGAGGCAGCAGUGGGGAAUAUUGGACAAUGGGCGAAAGCCUGAUUCAGCAAUGCCGCGUGAGUGAUGAAGGCCUUAGGGUUGUAAAGCUCUUUUACCCGGGAUGAUAAUGACAGUACCGGGAGAAUAAGCUCCGGCUAACUCCGUG
This 433-nucleotide ribosomal RNA is filed under the name uncultured bacterium. RNAcentral describes it as "partial 16S ribosomal RNA". It matches the Rfam family "Bacterial small subunit ribosomal RNA", at positions 29 to 507 of the family's 1533-position model. The record is from RNAcentral.